Molecule: long non-coding RNA, 1119 nt
Filed under: Trifolium pratense (red clover)
Lineage: Eukaryota; Viridiplantae; Streptophyta; Magnoliopsida; Fabales; Fabaceae
Description: long non-coding RNA (TPRA_LNC001190)
Source: RNAcentral
UAAAAUUAAACUUCUAAGAUGUGGAGAGUUAUUUCUAGCAAAAUAAAUUAUAAAAUGCAAAAUCUCAACUUCUAAUUACCAGUUUAUUUAAUAGUGUUACUUUUACAAAAAAAUUAAGUGAGAUGAGGACAUAUAUAGAAUUUGAGGCACAAGAAAAGGAAAAACUGCAAAUUAAAUUAAAGCGUCAAAGCGAUCCUUAAUUUCUUCUUCCGGAUACAUUUCAAAGAGAGAGAACUCGUCUUCUAAGUUAAAGGACAUAUUAGCAAGGCCAUCUUCACCAAAAAAAUUCUUCCGCCCAUUCAAGAUCCAUCCUUUGACGAAAUUGUUGAACCAACCUAUGCCCCAUGACAUUUCCACCACCUACAUUUUGGAUGUGGAGAUGACAACUGAUGAAUCCACGCACACCUCUAUCUUAGCGAACCCUUAAUCUCCGGCCAGCUUUAAACCUUCAAGCACGCCCCAUAACAUAACUCUGCAACAAUGACAUUGCACCUCCCAAUAUAUUUUGAGAACUCUCCUAACCAUUCCCUGUCCACACAUCUAAUAGUCAGAGUUUUUCUAGAAUCAAACAACAGGGAUUUGUUUUAGCUAACCAUUCAUUGUUAAAAUGAUCAACAAAAAAGUAGAACUAUUGGAUUUUCAAAGAGACCAUUCUAUUUGUACGGCUAUGAUAAGAACUCAUUUAUGUGUCCAUCAAAACCAGCAACAAAUAAAAGUGUUAUUGAUGAAGAUUGUUUUGUUAUCAUGAAGUUGGUAAUUAAGAAAAUAGAUAUGUUGUUGUGACUACAAAAUAGCAAAUCAGCAUAGCAUCAUUCAUCAAUUUGGUGAAAAGAGAAAUAUUACCAAUCACUAACCGAAAGUAAUUCUUUAAAAUUGGAGAAUUUUUCAUGUUGGAGUCAUUAGCCUGAAAAUUGACAUAAAAAUUAUGAGUAACUCAGCUACAUAAAUUCAAAUCAUGUUUGUUUUACUUAAAAUAAAUCCAUAAAAAAUAAUUUCAACUCCACAUAAUUUUGAUAUAAAAAAAAAAAAAUAGAGAAAAGGGAGUUGAACAAACACACCUAAAUCUAUGCCUAAAGGCAGUAUGGAAGUUUUUCCAUUGAUUCGAAUAACAAAUAUAUA